This 546-nucleotide small RNA is filed under the name Pan troglodytes (chimpanzee). RNAcentral describes it as "retained intron". The record is from RNAcentral. Lineage: Eukaryota; Metazoa; Chordata; Mammalia; Primates; Hominidae.
GCAACCUGAAUCUCAAACCUGGAGAGUGCCUUCGAGUGCGAGGCGAGGUGGCCCCUGACGCUAAGAGUGAGUUCUUCCAGCAAGGUGCGUUCAUGGGAUACUGAGUGACAGAUUAGUCAGUCAGUGGGGCUGGAGCUGGCCGAGGUGGCCUCAUGCCCACCCGUUACCCCCCAGCUUCGUGCUGAACCUGGGCAAAGACAGCAACAACCUGUGCCUGCACUUCAACCCUCGCUUCAACGCCCACGGCGACGCCAACACCAUCGUGUGCAACAGCAAGGACGGCGGGGCCUGGGGGACCGAGCAGCGGGAGGCUGUCUUUCCCUUCCAGCCUGGAAGUGUUGCAGAGGUGUGCAUCACCUUCGACCAGGCCAACCUGACCGUCAAGCUGCCAGAUGGAUACGAAUUCAAGUUCCCCAACCGCCUCAACCUGGAGGCCAUCAACUACAUGGCAGCUGACGGUGACUUCAAGAUCAAGUGUGUGGCCUUUGACUGAAAUCAGCCAGCCCAUGGCCCCCAAUAAAGGCAGCUGCCUCUGCUCCCUCUGAA